UACGUAGGACCCAAGCGUUAUCCGGAAUUACUGGGCGUAAAGAGUUGCGUAGGUGGCAUAGUAAGUGGGGCGUGAAAGCGUGUGGCUCAACCAUACAGCUGCGUUCUAAACUGCUAAGCUUGAGUGCGAGAGAGGUAGAUGGAAUUCCCAGUGUAGGAGUGAAAUCCGUAGAUAUUGGGAGGAACACCGAUGGCGUAAGCAGUCUACUGGCUCGUUACUGACACUAAGGCACGAAAGCGUGGGGAGCAAACGGG
RNAcentral lists this ribosomal RNA (254 nucleotides) under uncultured bacterium. Its description in RNAcentral is "partial 16S ribosomal RNA". It matches the Rfam family "Bacterial small subunit ribosomal RNA", at positions 524 to 776 of the family's 1533-position model. The record is from RNAcentral.